GCAAGUCGAGGGUUUGAUUUAUCAAACACUGGCAUCCGGGUGAGUAACGCGUAGGUCAUCUGCCCCUAUCACAGACAUAACAGUUCUAACGGAUUGCUAAUAUCUGAUGAGGCGAGCAAUCGUCAAAGCUUUGGCGGAUAGGGAUGAGCCUGCAUCUGAUUACGUAGUUGGUGAGGUAACGGCUCACCAAGCCUUCAAUCAGUACCUGGUCUGAGAGGACGAACAUCCAC
Molecule: ribosomal RNA, 230 nt
Filed under: uncultured Fibrobacterota bacterium
Lineage: Bacteria; Pseudomonadati; Fibrobacterota
Description: uncultured Fibrobacteres bacterium partial 16S ribosomal RNA
Rfam family: Bacterial small subunit ribosomal RNA
Source: RNAcentral